Molecule: long non-coding RNA, 184 nt
Organism: Sander lucioperca (pikeperch)
Lineage: Eukaryota; Metazoa; Chordata; Actinopteri; Perciformes; Percidae
Exons: 3
Source: RefSeq, a predicted model, not a curated record
GACCUCAUGUUCAUCAUUGACCUCUGCAGUCCCUCCCUCCAUGAUGUAGAUCUCUGUGAACAUCUGAUUCAGAAGGGUUGGGUUUCCUGCUUUAGCAAUCCCCUCAAACACACACUGGAACUUCUUGUUUAGGUUAGUCUUGAGUUUACGUUUACACACUCCAGCAGAACUUCUGCGGUGAAGA